GGACCCGCACAAGCGGUGGAGCAUGUGGUUUAAUUCGAAGCAACGCGAAGAACCUUACCUAGUCUUGACAUCCCAUUGACCGCAGAGUAAUGUCUGCUUCCCUUCGGGGCAAUGGUGACAGGUGGUGCAUGGUUGUCGUCAGCUCGUGUCGUGAGAUGUUGGGUUAAGUCCCGCAACGAGCGCAACCCUUAUCUUUAGUAGCCAGCAUUUCGGAUGGGCACUCUAGAGAGACUGCCAGGGAUAACCUGGAGGAAGGUGGGGAUGACGUCAAAUCAUCAUGCCCCUUAUGACUAGGGCUACACACGUGCUACAAUGGUGAUAACAAAGUGAAGCAACCCUGUGAAGGUGAGCAAAUCACAAAAAUGUCAUCUCAGUUCGGAUUGUAGUCUGCAACUCGACUACAUGAAGCUGGAAUCGCUAGUAAUCGCGAAUCAGAAUGUCGCGGUGAAUACGUUCCCGGGUCUU
This 465-nucleotide ribosomal RNA is filed under the name uncultured bacterium. Its description in RNAcentral is "bacterial SSU rRNA". It matches the Rfam family "Bacterial small subunit ribosomal RNA", at positions 917 to 1382 of the family's 1533-position model. The record is from RNAcentral.